CGGCAGGGUGUCCCCCUCUUCAGGGUGCACUUUCUCUCUCUCAAAUCCACCACAUCCUCCCUCUUGCUUUAAUUCUCUCCAGGGUCUCCAGGGUUUUUUCCACUUACACAGUGCAUCUGCAUGGCCAGUGCGUGAUGUGGAGCCCAAGCGGAUCACUUGCUUGAAGAAAACAAAUUAUUUGUAAAACAAGAUAAACUAGCAAGGUCAGCUUCCUACCAAAACUAGACUCUGAGAUACCGUGUGAUCUAGAACAGACUUUCUACGGCAGUACUCACAGCACCAUGCCAAACACAGUUCAAGAACCAUCUGGACAAUGCUCUCAGACAUAGAGCCUGAUUUUUGGGUGGUCCUGUUUGUGGACAGGAGUUGAACUUACGAUUCUUCUGGUUCCUUUCCAACUUGGGAUAUUCUAUGAUUCUAUGGUCUACCAGGAUAUUGUUCACUGCUGUGAUCCCACCCUAACCACCCACUACUGUAAAAAAAUUGUGCCUUACAGUUUUUAAAUAAUUCAGACAUGUCUCUCCAGUGAAACAGUAAACUCUCUCCAGAUGCCAACAUUUCAGUUUUGCAUACAGUUGUAAGCUUGUAUCUGUCACUAGGUUUUUCUACGGACCUUAAUGCAAUUGCUGUUUCCUAUCGAAUACAGCUCACAUUUUAUCCAUCUGCACUGUAGACAGUGUAUUUCUCCACCCAUCAUAAACAGCAGCAAACACUUUCCACUGUCAAGUUCUGUUUUAAAUGCUUACUUUCAUCAAUAUGGUGCAAUCUGCAGUGGAGAACAGAAGGUGGUUCUAAAUACAUUCUGGGGAGCGUAAGGGAGAAAUGAUGAAACAGCUCAGCUGAGUUAGUGAGCAGUGGCUGAGGCACUCCUCAUGGCAGCAGCAGAAUAGAAGCACAAGUUUAGAAAGACAUGGAGGAAACCGUAAAUACAGAUGAAAGCAAAAAGAUGAUGAGGAGAUUUAUAACUACCAUUAUGGAGCUUGAAAACCUGACUUCUACAGCAAAAGUCUCACUUCUCUUCCGAGGGGGUAUCAUGAAAAGAAGCUUGUACUGUAUUAACAAAUUUCUUCUCUGUUCUAGAUUGCACAAUCCUGAGGUUGAGGAUAACAGAAUAAUGGUUUCCAAGGAGAUUUAAUUGGAGUUCAGAUUACAUGAAUAUCAUGUAGCAUUUCCAAGGAGGGUAACAGAGCAUAGGAAUAAUGGCAGCAUUUCUGUAGGCAGAUGGUUGUGAGACUGUUAUAUUUAUUUACUUUCAACUUACUUUCAAUUUCAAAAUAAUUUCAAUUUGAAUAGAUUAAAUGAAAUUAUGGAACCAGCUGAGCUAUGCAGUUUAUUCCAGCUAAUAAAUAGAAUACACCUCAUUCACAAGAUACUAGGAACCCUUUUUUAUGGUUUUUAAUUUCACAUUUAGAGCAAAAGAGGGAAAAUCAUAAUCUAUCAUACAUUUCUGCGUCUCUUUGUCUGCAUAAUGUUUACUCUUAAAUAGAGUGUUUUCCUGGAAUACAGUGUACCAAUGCUGACCUAUAUCACUCAGUCACUGUGGAAUGCAUUCCCUAUGAAAUAACAAAACUAUAUCAUACAGUUCUUAUGCUUACAACUGUUUUAAAGUCGUGAGAGUUUUCUUUGGGAUUAGAACCAAAACCUGUCCAACAAAUUUCCAUAGGGAUUGCUGGAUGUCUUAGGAUAUGCGUCCUAAAUAGUUGUACUUUUUUAAAGCCAAGGAAACAAAAUAUUUUUAAGUACUUUUUCUUCAAAUGUGCUGCUGGUGAAGAAAGGCAUGAGGAAAUACUGCAGAGAAACAGAACUGUGGUGAAAGAGCCUCCUGUUGAACAGAAUAAUUCAUCCAUUCCAACAGCAGCAGAAAGAAAAUGAAAACAUGACCUGAAUCAGCAGCUGAAAAAAAGAGAAGUUAAGCCCGUUAGAAAUGCUUCUGUCAGAUUUUUGGCAUAGUUUUGUCCUUAUAUGAUACCUCUAAAAUACUGUAGGUAUGUUCUCAAAAUAAUAAUAAUAAUAAAACUGUUGUAGACGUUAAAGCAGUUCUUGAAGAAACAAUAGAAGUUUAAUAGAAACCAUCUGUUAAGAUGCUUAGACUCAAGAGGCCAUUGUUUUAGUUGGUU
Gallus gallus (chicken) is the source of this 2117-nucleotide long non-coding RNA. The record is from Ensembl. NCBI's taxonomy places the organism in Eukaryota, Metazoa, Chordata, Aves, Galliformes, Phasianidae.